This 274-nucleotide ribosomal RNA is filed under the name uncultured bacterium. Its description in RNAcentral is "partial 16S ribosomal RNA". It matches the Rfam family "Bacterial small subunit ribosomal RNA", at positions 523 to 796 of the family's 1533-position model. The record is from RNAcentral.
AUACGGAGGGGGCUAGCGUUGUUCGGAAUUACUGGGCGUAAAGCGUACGUAGGCGGACUGAUCAGUUGGGGGUGAAAUCCCAGGGCUUAACCCUGGAACUGCCUUCAAUACUGUCAGUCUUGAGAUUGGAAGAGGUGAGUGGAAUUCCUAGUGUAGAGGUGAAAUUCAUAGAUAUUAGGAGGAACACCAGUGGCGAAGGCGGCUCACUGGUCCAAUACUGACGCUGAGGUACGGAAGCGUGGGGAGCAAACAGGAUUAGAAACCCUAGUAGUCC